AGAAUCAACGCUGGCGGCGUGCCUCAGACAUGCAAGUCGAACGCGAAAGUCCCCUUCGGGGGGCAAGUAGGGUGGCGCACGGGUGAGUAACACGUAGGUAAUCUACCUUUGGAUGGGGAAUAACAAUCGGAAACGAUUGCUAAUACCGCAUAAUGCAGCGGCACCUAAUGAUGACAGUUGUUAAAGCGGGGGAUCGAAAGACCUCGCGUCUGAAGAGGAGCCUGCGGCGGAUUAGCUAGUUGGUAAGGUAAUGGCUUACCAAGGCGACGAUCCGUAACCGGCCUGAGAGGGGCGGUCGGUCACACUGACACUGACAUACGGGUCAGACUCCUACGGGA
This 338-nucleotide ribosomal RNA is filed under the name uncultured soil bacterium. RNAcentral describes it as "bacterial SSU rRNA". It matches the Rfam family "Bacterial small subunit ribosomal RNA", at positions 26 to 346 of the family's 1533-position model. The record is from RNAcentral.